GUAGGUGGCAAGCGUUGUCCGGAAUUAUUGGGCGUAAAGCGCGCGCAGGCGGUCCUUUAAGUCUGAUGUGAAAGCCCACGGCUCAACCGUGGAGGGUCAUUGGAAACUGGGGGACUUGAGUACAGAAGAGGAAAGCGGAAUUCCAAGUGCAGCGGUGAAAUGCGUAGAGAUUUGGAGGAACACCAGUGGCGAAGGCGGCUUUCUGGUCUGUAACUGACGCUGAGGCGCGAAAGCGUGGGGAGCAAACAGGAUUAGAUACCCUGGUAGUCCACGCCGUAAACGAUGAGUGCUAAGUGUUAGGGGGGUUUCCGCCCCCCUUAGUGCUGCAGCUAACGCAUUAAGCACUCCGCCUGGGAGUACGGCCGCAAGGCUG
This 373-nucleotide ribosomal RNA is filed under the name uncultured organism. RNAcentral's name for it is "partial 16S ribosomal RNA". It matches the Rfam family "Bacterial small subunit ribosomal RNA", at positions 527 to 896 of the family's 1533-position model. The record is from RNAcentral.